AGUGAUUUGACAAUUCUAUACUUCACAAAAUUUUUACCAUGGCAUUUCUCUUGUCUACCAGUAGACCACUGUGAAGGGAUGAAAUACGAAAAUGGAGGAAGGAAGUUACCCUGCUGACUAGCUGAUACAUCUACUUUGUCAUCAAAGCACUGAGAGAGUGAGUGGUGAUCACUACAGUCUGCUCAAGAUAUCUUGCACUUCCUGUGGUGACCUGGCCUCCCAAUAUAGGCACGCAAAUAAACACACGUGCAUGGACAACAAAUAUAAUCUCCAAAGUGCCUUUUU
This is a long non-coding RNA of Lutra lutra (Eurasian river otter), 285 nucleotides long. RefSeq lists it as uncharacterized. The record is from RefSeq and is a predicted model, not a curated record. The transcript has 3 exons. Lineage: Eukaryota; Metazoa; Chordata; Mammalia; Carnivora; Mustelidae.